This 253-nucleotide ribosomal RNA is filed under the name uncultured bacterium. Its description in RNAcentral is "partial 16S ribosomal RNA". It matches the Rfam family "Bacterial small subunit ribosomal RNA", at positions 524 to 776 of the family's 1533-position model. The record is from RNAcentral.
GACGAACCGAGCGAACGUUAUUCGGAAUCACUGGGCUUAAAGGGUGCGUAGGCGGGCGAUCAAGUCAGGGGUGAAAGCCUCCAGCUCAACUGGAGAAGUGCCUUUGAUACUGGUUGUCUCGAGGGAGGUAGGGGCGUGCGGAACUUCCGGUGGAGCGGUGAAAUGCGUAGAUAUCGGAAGGAACACCAGUGGCGAAAGCGGCGCGCUGGACCUCUUCUGACGCUGAGGCACGAAAGCCAGGGGAGCAAACGGG